This 253-nucleotide ribosomal RNA is filed under the name uncultured bacterium. Its description in RNAcentral is "partial 16S ribosomal RNA". It matches the Rfam family "Bacterial small subunit ribosomal RNA", at positions 524 to 776 of the family's 1533-position model. The record is from RNAcentral.
UACAGAGGUCUCAAGCGUUGUUCGGAUUCAUUGGGCGUAAAGGGCGCGUAGGCGGCUUUGUAAGUCGGGGGUGAAAGCCUGUGGCUCAACCACAGAAUUGCCUUCGAUACUGCAUGGCUUGAGACCGGAAGAGGUAAGUGGAACUGCGAGUGUAGAGGUGAAAUUCGUAGAUAUUCGCAAGAACACCAGUGGCGAAGGCGGCUUACUGGUCCGGUUCUGACGCUGAGGCGCGAAAGCGUGGGGAGCAAACAGG